GGAAGUAAAAGUUGUAACAAGGUCUCCGUUGGUGAACCAGCGGAGGGAUCAUUAUCGAGUUUACAACUCCCAAACCAUUGUGAAUUUUACCUUUUCGUUGCUUCGGCAGGAUUGCCCCGGGCGCUUCGGUGCCCCGGAUUCAGGCGCCUGCCGGGGGACCUAAACUCUUGUAUUAUAGUGAAUUUCUGAGUGGAUUACACAAAUAAUCAAAACUUUCAACAACGGAUCUCUUGGUUCUG
This 239-nucleotide unclassified non-coding RNA is filed under the name plant metagenome. RNAcentral's name for it is "partial contains small subunit ribosomal RNA, internal transcribed spacer 1, and 5.8S ribosomal RNA". The stretch from base 1 to 54 matches the Rfam family "Eukaryotic small subunit ribosomal RNA", at positions 1778 to 1831 of the family's 1831-position model. The record is from RNAcentral.